UCCAGAAGAGGCCUCCCAACAUCCAGUACAUCCUCAACAUAACAUCCCAACUCCUGUACUCCAAGGUCUGAACAAUGAAGAUCCCAGUGAUUAAUGCCAAAGCCCUGUUGCCUGGGGAGAGGGUGAUGUUUGACUUUCUUGUACAGCUGCAGUUUGUGUGGUGAAGGUGCUCCCACAAUGUGGUUGGGAUGAGGCUGUCACUGGCUCGGCCAGCAUUUAUUGCUGCGUUUACCCAGAGGGCAGUUAAGAGUCAACUGCGUUGCUAUAGGUCUGGAGUCCCAUGCAGACCAGACCAGAUCCCAGUGAUCAGUGCCAAAGCCCCAUUGCCUGGGGAGAGGGUGAUGUUUGACUUCCUGUACAGCUGCAAUUCAUGUGGUGAAGGUGCUCCCACAAUGUGGUUGGAGACAGGCUCCAGUGACUUCAUGGGGGCUACAACUCCCACAGUACCUGUGGCAGGGACCGCACGUGUGUGGGGAAACCCUGCACGCUACAUGUGCAGAAUGUGAGCGGGUUUUGGAACAUGUGCUUUGGGGUGCUAGAUGGUGAAGAUUUGCAGACUGAAAUCUCAAAGUCAUGUGCAGAUUGUGAUUAAGUUAACCAGCAUUUGAAGAACCAAAGAUAGAGAAUCACUCCACCAAAAUCCUGCAACACUCUCCCUCCCAGCAUUGUCGGUCUCUCUGCACCAAAUGGACUGUGAAUGGUACAAGACAGCAGCUCACUACCAUCUUCUCAAGGGUAACUAGAGAUGGGGAAUAAAUGCUGGCUGAGCCAGUGAUGCCCAUAUCCUG
Molecule: long non-coding RNA, 788 nt
Organism: Hemiscyllium ocellatum (epaulette shark)
Lineage: Eukaryota; Metazoa; Chordata; Chondrichthyes; Orectolobiformes; Hemiscylliidae
Exons: 6
Source: RefSeq, a predicted model, not a curated record